This 119-nucleotide ribosomal RNA is filed under the name Sinocyclocheilus grahami. Lineage: Eukaryota; Metazoa; Chordata; Actinopteri; Cypriniformes; Cyprinidae. The record is from RNAcentral.
CUCUGUGACUGACCCUGAUCACCUUAUUGCUGAUUGGUUACUCGUUGAAGCUAAGCAGGGUUCAGCCAGGUCAGUACCUGUAUGGAGACCUCCAGGAUAAACUAAGGUUGCUGCGGGAA